Lotus japonicus is the source of this 1867-nucleotide long non-coding RNA. RefSeq lists it as uncharacterized. The transcript is spliced from 3 exons. NCBI's taxonomy places the organism in Eukaryota, Viridiplantae, Streptophyta, Magnoliopsida, Fabales, Fabaceae. The record is from RefSeq and is a predicted model, not a curated record.
UAAAGGAAGAGUUUUAGCAGCCUUGGGGGUAAAUCUGUCAAUCAACAAAUAAAUUUAAAGGCAAUGAAGCUUGACCAUGGAUAUUUUGGUAAAAAUCUCUUUUAUUUCACUUGGAUUGAUUCUCAGCCAUUGAUUCACAAUAAGUUAUUAUUUAUGGAUCAAAUCUUGGCCAUCCAAAUCCUCUAGCAAUCUCCUUCUUUAAAAGAAUCAUAUUAUUUUUUAAAUAUGCAAUCAGAUGCCAUACGUUUCCCUUGCGUUUCAUCCGUUCAUCAUGCUGCCCAUCGUCUUUGUCAUCGACUCUCUAAAAUCCCUAACCGUGCGUUUCUAUUUUGGAGCCGCUUCGUCUCUAGCUUUUAUUCUUCCUUGAUGUUACUCUCAAAGUCUCUAAAAUAAAGUUCUCGCUGAAUCACGCUUCAGCCCUUCCCCAUGUUCGUCGAGCUUGCUCUUGCUGCCAACGGAGAAGCAGUGAACAACGACGGCUUGAAGGAGAAACCCAAUCGACCACAUUCAUAACAAAUCGCGAGUUGGAUUCUCCUUUUUUCAUCUGUUUUCAUUCUUCUAGGGCUUUUAAUCGCGUGCACGGCUUAACAUUAUUUUCUUCUUGGCAGAUUCGCGGCUUCACUAAUCUAUUGAGCUUUCCAUAUAACAGAUCCAAAGCAUAAAACAGCAAACCAAGGAAGGACAAAGGCUAUGGAGUAGAAUCUGUAUCAAAUUCAAUGAGAUACGACAUACCGAAGCCACGAGGUUCAGAAUUGCCAUUGUGGUAGCCUUUGAACUCUGGAUCACUUUCAGUACCCCAAUUGCAGUACAUUAGGCCCAUCCCAAUUGUGUAAGUGAACAAAUUAACUUUUCAAAAUGAUUGCUAUAGAUGUGGAUUGCAUGAACCCAGCUCAUGACGCGUAAUGCUGACAUUUUGGCCACUAUAUGUGAAAAUUUAGCAUCACUUACCAACACCAUGUGUAUAUCAGUAUAUUACUAUUAUAUAUACACAUCAUGGCCUCCAUGAUUAUAAUUACAAGUACUCAAAUCAUUUAUUGCAAAAAAGAGGAACAACGCAUUGUUAAAGGAAAGUUAUAUUUUAGUUCAAGGUCUUAAUUUCCAUUAUUAUACCAUAGUUAAAGAUUAGUUAAGUCUACCCUGCCGAAUUAAGAAAUCAUCAAUGUUUUUUUUUAUGAUGAUUAUGAUAUCGAAGACUGCUCCCAUGGUUAUGAUAUCGCAUUAUGCUUGAAAGUUUUCAACUUUCAUUUUCUACUGCACAAGAGGAAAAUGAUUGAAGGGAACAAACUCAUGCUUUUGUGUUCAUUGCUUUCACGCUUAGUGACCUCCAAGGCACUAGGAUCCAAAUAAAUUCAAUAUGUUACCAAGAAGAAGCAAAGUGCAGGUUGUGCCAAGAAGAAGUCAAUGGUGGAGCACACACAAGAGGAUCAUGAAGCUCACUCAUGGGAACAUCAAAUACAGUACCAAGUCAAGAGCCUAGAGAAUGUGCAAUUGCAUGUGUUCAGUGAAGCUCCAUCCUCAAGUUCAUCUUCAUCUUCCUGCCACAGUCCUAUUCUUGCCAAAUUUCUCAGAUUCAAAUUACAAGCUGAGAUGAUGAAGGGUCUCAAACAGUCCUCUUUGUGACAGGAGAAUGUGAAAUCAAGCUAGCAUUAAUUUUAAAGUGAUCAAUGUUUAUGAUAUGAAUACGUUUCAUCUAUCAAGUUUCAUGGCCACCUGUUAUGCUAUAGAGAUGAAUUGACAUUGGUGAAUGCCAUAUGUUACAUUAUCACAUACUAUUUUUUAUUAGGGCUUAUUUUAUAUGUAAUAAUCUAUUUCCUCUUACAUAUAUGUAAUACCUAUCAUUAAUUAAUUAUUUGUUCCUAAUUACCUA